AUGUCCCCCACCCCUCUGCCCAACAUCACAAUGGGAAUGCAUAGGGGUAAAGGUGUGUGUGGGGGGGAAUCACAGGUGGUAGAGCUGGAGGGGAGCAGAGUGCUCAGGCCAUUACCAUCCCGCUCUCUCCACUGGCUGAGGAUUUUCCCCACUUUUUCUUCCCCUUUUCCCAGCAACCCAAAAGGAACACUUUCUCCCUUCUCUGUUUGUGAUAAAGGGGGACAGUCAGAAUUCUUUUCUUACUUCUGUAUUAAAUGGAGUUUGAGUCUUCCAUUCUUGGAGCAAGACUCUGCUACAAACUUGGCCCCAGAAGUCAAUCUAGUCUGGCCACUGGAUCUGGGAUCUAUCUGCUACCCUUCUUCAUACCAGAAGAAGUUCUGUGAAGGGGAGACUCUUGCCUCGCUGACAAAUCCACAGCCUUGUUAGGUUUUCUAAGCAACUUGGCCCAAUCCACCAGGUUCUGAGAGAAUAUACUAACCAUGUCUUUCUGAAAUCAUCAAGAGAAGUUAAGGAGAAAUCACUCCACCCAACCAGAACAGGAGAUUUGGUAUACAAGAAAACAUGGAGUGGAUAGAAUCAGCUAAUACCACUAUGGGAGAGGUCCAAUCCAGUCAUUUUAUCCACCCCCUUUCUCCUUGUUACUUUAAAUCUCUCUUGUUCUAGCCAUGACUCCUUUUCCUUACACUUUCUGACUUUUCCUGCUUUUAAUCAUGCUUGUCCAGACAGCUGGAAGAUAAUUCUCUGAUUUGUAACCUUGUCAUUUCUCUAGUUGCUUCUAAGGUGAAAGUUCCCAUUGGAGUCACUGAGAUGCCAUUGCAACCCAGAAACUGUCCCAGCCUACAGACUACAGCCAAUACCUCUCUCUCCUGACAAUAGACAGGGACAGCUCUACAACCAUUCUCAGCUCUAAAGAAGUUACAGAAUACAGAGACCAUUGCCCAUUUUCCCUUAGAUAUUUGGAGAGAGGGAGAUGGCAUGGGCAUUGUACCCCCAGAAACUCAGGCAAAUUAUUAUCAGGGAAAUUCCUCUGCUCCCUUAGGCUCUCAUGAGUCCCAACCCAAAACACCUGACCUAGAAGAUUAGCCUUCUUUGAUUGCCUAUUUAAUUGAGAUGGACAAGGAGACACAUCCCAUUCAUUCAUCCUGCAAAUCAAGAGAACAACCCCCAUGCCCUUGGGCAAACCUUCCUCCAACCCCCUUGUUCCUGAAUCAAGCCCUCACUGGUGAAAAGAAUAUAAAAACCCUAGAAUUGAGGCAUUCGGAGUGCAACCCUCCUCUGCCCCCCUUUCCCCCCUCCAAUCAUGCUCUCUUGCUGGUCAGAAAUUCAAUAUUACUAUUAAAUCUCUCUCUUUGCUUUUAAGCUUUUUAAG
Molecule: long non-coding RNA, 1369 nt
Filed under: Monodelphis domestica (gray short-tailed opossum)
Lineage: Eukaryota; Metazoa; Chordata; Mammalia; Didelphimorphia; Didelphidae
Description: lncRNA (ENSMODG00000031802.2)
Source: RNAcentral